RNAcentral lists this transfer RNA (74 nucleotides) under Bacillus cereus. Its description in RNAcentral is "tRNA-Gly". It matches the Rfam family "tRNA". Rfam says of the family: Transfer RNA (tRNA) molecules are approximately 80 nucleotides in length. Their secondary structure includes four short double-helical elements and three loops (D, anti-codon, and T loops). Further hydrogen bonds mediate the characteristic L-shaped molecular structure. tRNAs have two regions of fundamental functional importance: the anti-codon, which is responsible for specific mRNA codon recognition, and the 3' end, to which the tRNAs corresponding amino acid is attached (by aminoacyl-tRNA synthetases). tRNAs cope with the degeneracy of the genetic code in two manners: having more than one tRNA (with a specific anti-codon) for a particular amino acid; and 'wobble' base-pairing, i.e. permitting non-standard base-pairing at the 3rd anti-codon position. Lineage: Bacteria; Bacillati; Bacillota; Bacilli; Caryophanales; Bacillaceae. The record is from RNAcentral.
CGGAAGUAGUUCAGUGGUAGAAUACAACCUUGCCAAGGUUGGGGUCGCGGGUUCGAAUCCCGUCUUCCGCUCCA